UCCGUGUUAACCACGGCAGUCUCUCUAGAGUGCCCAACUGAAUGCUGGCAACUAAAGAUAGGGGUUGCGCUCGUUGCGGGACUUAACCCAACAUGUCACCACACGAGCUGACGACAGCCAUGCAGCACCUGUCACCCUGUUCCCUUGCGGGAAAAACCGUAUCUCUACGGCUGUCAGGGGAUGUCAAGCCCAGGUAAGGUUCUUCGCGUUGCUUCGAAUUAAACCACAUGAUCCACCGCUUGUGCAGGCUCCCGUCAAUUUCUUUGAGUUUUAACCUUGCGGCCGUACUCCCCAGGCGGAUGACCUAACGCGUUAGCUGCGCCACCGAAACGCUAAGCGCCCCGACAGCUAGUCAUCAUCGUUUACGGCGUGGACUAC
RNAcentral lists this unclassified non-coding RNA (378 nucleotides) under uncultured Pseudomonadota bacterium. RNAcentral's name for it is "uncultured proteobacterium contains 16S-23S intergenic spacer region". Lineage: Bacteria; Pseudomonadati; Pseudomonadota. The record is from RNAcentral.